CAGCAGCCGCGGUAAUACGUAGGUGGCAAGCGUUGUCCGGAAUUAUUGGGCGUAAAGGGCUCGCAGGCGGUUUCUUAAGUCUGAUGUGAAAGCCCCCGGCUCAACCGGGGAGGGUCAUUGGAAACUGGGAAACUUGAGUGCAGAAGAGGAGAGUGGAACCCCACGUGUAGCGGUGAAAUGCGUAGAGAUGUGGAGGAACACCAGUGGCGAAGGCGACUCUCUGGUCUGUAACUGACGCUGAGGAGCGAAAGCGUGGGGAGCGAACAGGAUUAGAUACCCCAGUAGUCCCUGUCUCUUAUAA
RNAcentral lists this ribosomal RNA (301 nucleotides) under uncultured bacterium. RNAcentral describes it as "partial 16S ribosomal RNA". It matches the Rfam family "Bacterial small subunit ribosomal RNA", at positions 509 to 809 of the family's 1533-position model. The record is from RNAcentral.